UGUCCUGCUCUGCUCUGCUCUGGGGCAGCCUCACCUCCAGUGCUGGGGCAGUGCUGGGUGCCACCAUGUAAAAAAGACAUUAAACUGUGGGAGAGUGUCCAGAGGAGGGCAAUGAGGAUGGAGAAGGGCCUUGAGGGGAAACCAUACAAGGAGUGGCUGAGGUCACUGGAUAUGUUCAGCUUGGAGGAGACUGAACGGAGAUGUCAUCAGGGUCUGCAGUUUCCACAUGAUGGGAAGAGGAGGGGCAGGCACUGAUUUCUCUUCUGUGGUGACCAGUGACAGGACCCAAGGGAAUGGCCUCAGGUUGUGUCAGGGGAGGUUUGGGUUUGAUAUUAGAAAAAUGUUCUUCACCCAGAGGGUGUUUAGGCACUGGUUCCUCACCAGGGAAGUGGUCACAGCACCAGCCUGACAGAGCUCAAGAAGUGUUUGGAUAGCACCCUGAGACACGUGGUGUGACUCUUGGUAAUAGUGCUGUGCAGGGCCGGAGUUGGACUCAAUGAUUUGUGUCCCUUCCCACUCAGCUCAUGCUGUGAUUGUGAGAUUCUGUGAUUUACAAAGGGUUUUCUGGCUAUCUAGAAAGAGCAUGUUUUUCUGUGGCUUAUUUUUCACUAUAUUUUUCAAAAUUUGAAUUGGCAUUCAUGUCCUUCAUGAGUUACAAUGUAUUUCUGAGGUCUUUAUUUUGCGAAGCAUAUUUUCCCAAUCCAUACCAUCUAACACUGAUUGUUUUCAUCCUGUAGAAGGAUCUUGGGGGACCUUAGAAAAUGCAGUUACCUGCAUAUUUCAACAUAUAACAGUUGCCUUGCCUGCCUCAGAAUCUUGAGGACUCAGAACAGCUUUUAAAAAUCCAUCUGUAACACCAAACUGCUUUUCCUGUUGUUUUUGUUGCCAACUGAACCCCUCCCUGGAGCUGCAGUAAUUGGAUUUAUUGCAGAAAGGCAUCCAGAAACAGGAAGUUUCUCUUUAAUAUUACUGCAAGGAAUGGGGUGGAGUGAUUUGAAUGAAGAUGCAAAAUAGCUGUUAUCAAGAGUGAAGAUCAAAGAGAAGGUGAUGAAUGGGUGGUUUCGGGUUGUUAUUGCUUUUGAGAGGUGACUGAAGGGAAAACAAAGCAAAACACACACAUAAAUUGUUGUCAGUAAGUUAAAGGUAUUGGUCUGAAUUCUUUGUACAAGUUCACUCGCUCUGCAGUCCUUAAAACAAUUCAACAAUAAGGAAAAUAAACCUUUUUAUUAUUUUCUGUAAGAACAUAAAUAGUAACUCAAAUGCCUCUUCCUUUUUCCUAAACUUAAACUGAAAUCCCUCACUGUGUAUCCUGGCUUGUCUCCUCUGAUCUUUGGUUUCUUUUCAAGCAUGUCUCUUGCUAUCUUCGUAUCUCAUUCAAUAUCAUAAUAUGCCAUAUUUUGCUGAUAUAUAUUAUGCUAAUUUUUUUGGCCCAACAGGCAGUAAGCACAGAUUUACAAUGAAAGAAAAUAACAAUAAUAAAUGGUAGGAAAAACUAGAAGCUUUUUGUGAAUCCAAAUUUGAAUCCAUAUUGUUUUCUUCUGACCCUGUCCAUACUAUCCCAAGCAGAGAGGCAAUGCCAGGUGAAAGAAAACAUUCUUACCAGGAUGUGCUUCUGUGAACACUCAAUGUGAUUAGAUGUGCUCAUUACAGUUUCAUUUAUCCCUAAAAGGAGCUACCUUCCUCCCAUGCCUAGAGCGUUGCAAUCAGAAUAAAUCCUAAGCCUCGUGUACAUCUGCAGCCAAACUCCAACGAGCAUUAGAUUUCAAGUUUUGCAGUAUUUGCAUUGUUGUAUUUAAAAGGAAGCAAGUGUUCUGGGGCUCUUCUCAGAGAGGUUAAGCUACUGAGAUGUUCUCUGCUUCAUUUACCCUUUCUGUGCAGUCAAAGUGCUACUGUUUCCCUGAUGUCACAAGGCUGGAUGCUUUGGAACCUCCAAACUGACUGACAGAGGCUGAUGUGAAUGAAUGCAUGCAGUUUUCCUCUGUGUCAGAUGAGGAAAACCAGGGCAUGGUGUACUCCCUUUGAAAUUUUCUGAGUGACACAGCAGUAUAAAUUCCUCUGACUGUUUCCAGUCUGGGGCAGAAAGUUGAGCACUGUUACCAUUACAUCUCUACAUGCUGGACAGCUGGACAGCAUUCACACACAUGACAGAGCACUGGGGCUUUUGUUGCUUUUGCUUUCAGUCACUCCUAUUUGUGCCUCACAGGAUAGCUUCUAGCUAGACAGAUAAAAAUGCCUAAAUAAGAAUCUUAUGAUAGAAACAGUUUCAUCAUAACACCCAAAUUUUAUGAGUAGUAAAAAAUCAACCAGGCAGCUAUCAUAGCUAGUUAAUCUACAGUCUUCACAGAAAAUCCUUUGACACAAUAGAACAUACUGUGGAACAGCGAGCCAGGAGUGCAGAGUGAGAGUGAGGCAGUUUUUAGAAUGCUGCAGUCACUCUGGAGUUUGGAGGUCACAUGGCUACUCAUGCUAUAGCGACAGCAUCGUUUUCACCUGAGCCUUGUCAGCACCUUCUACUUGAGAAAUCUAAUGCAACUGAAAUAAUAAAGCAUGAAGAUAAAUUUA
This is a long non-coding RNA of Passer domesticus (house sparrow), 2562 nucleotides long. RefSeq lists it as uncharacterized. The transcript is spliced from 3 exons. The record is from RefSeq and is a predicted model, not a curated record. NCBI's taxonomy places the organism in Eukaryota, Metazoa, Chordata, Aves, Passeriformes, Passeridae.